AAGAAAAUAGAAAAAGCAACAGGUUCAAAGAUCAUUUUUAAUAGAAGAAAUACACUCUUAAACAUUCUAAGAAAUGAUAAGGAUAAGUACGACCACACCUCCCUCCCAGGAGUUUGAGAUCCCAGCAUUUGACAAUAUUUUGAAUCAAAAUAUAAAAUAUAUAGGUUGCACGGCCGGAUCACUAAACGGGAGGAUUGGGGAGCGCAGAGGGGACGUUGAGAGCUCCACGUCCACAACAGCAUUAGUGAGGAGCUUUCGUCACCGAUCUGGCAGUGAAGUGGGGAGAAGCUGAGCUUUUGCGCAUAGAGGAGGACCCCAAAGGGGGAAGGGUGGCGGAGGCAGUGGAGAUCGGAAGAGC
This 358-nucleotide long non-coding RNA is filed under the name Androctonus crassicauda. The record is from RNAcentral. Lineage: Eukaryota; Metazoa; Arthropoda; Arachnida; Scorpiones; Buthidae.